Molecule: long non-coding RNA, 410 nt
Organism: Schistocerca americana (American grasshopper)
Lineage: Eukaryota; Metazoa; Arthropoda; Insecta; Orthoptera; Acrididae
Exons: 2
Source: RefSeq, a predicted model, not a curated record
CAGCCAGCUAUUACUUACAAAUAUGUAGUUUUGCUGCUUUUCGCUCGUUGGUAACUGUUCCCAAAUUUCGGACUGUUGCAACACAAUUAAUGCUUUUAUCUUCGACGCUUUCAAGGCCUUCGCUUGUUAUUUCGUCACAGCGAGAAGCAAAACAUCAUGGCGAAAGAAGCGCAAUGAGGAGCAGCAGGUAGCUGUUCAGAGCAUUUACCUUCAGUAUUUGGACAGGUUCUUGAAUAGUGGUUGAUCAGGAAGAACACAUGCUGUAGCAAUAGGAAUAAAUUCCAUUGUCACAAUACUCAGCUAAGGAGAAAACAUUGAGGGGGUGGUUCAACCUCAUAAUUUAGAGUACCUUGGCUAUUUCCUUGACCAACACUCAGAAACUUACAUUAAUAAUGGCACCGAGAAAUAAG